Schistosoma haematobium is the source of this 45-nucleotide non-coding RNA. Lineage: Eukaryota; Metazoa; Platyhelminthes; Trematoda; Strigeidida; Schistosomatidae. The record is from Rfam.
AUCUAGAUGACGAGUUCUAAAUAGAACGAAACGUGCGUCCUUAAU